Molecule: long non-coding RNA, 2480 nt
Organism: Daphnia magna
Lineage: Eukaryota; Metazoa; Arthropoda; Branchiopoda; Diplostraca; Daphniidae
Exons: 4
Source: RefSeq, a predicted model, not a curated record
ACCAGUGGAUUGGUUUUUUUGACAUCUUUAAGGUAUUACUGUUGUUUGUAUUACUGUUGUAUUACUGUAAAAAUAUUAAUAUGUUGACAAAUUUAUUAAUUGAUCUAUAAUUGUUGAUGAUAUUAGUUGUUCCGACUAUGCAAAUGUAUUCUGCAGUCCUCGUUCCGCAUUUUAUGCUCGUCGCAGGGUGUUUUCCAUAAUAUACUAUGCAUACUACUGUGCACAAAGGAUGCUUUGAUUUAAUUUAUUAUAAUACUAACAGUUGUAUUUUUUGUCCAUGUUCAAUUACCUGUCAAUGUUGCUAACUUAAAUAUAGUCUUUUGCUGUAGGUUGGUAUCGAUUCCUGUUGAUUCUGGGGAACACCGUUUUCAGUACUUCAAACUACGUUGAUGUUUUCUAGCAGCAUGGGAGAACUUUUUAUAUAGUUGUUUUGGAACAGUGACACUAAUACCUGCAGAAACUGUGCACAGCUUUUUGGAAUUGUUAUUAUGGCAUAAAAUUUCAUCUCAUCAUCUGAGAGUUACGAUUCAAGGUGACAAAAUAAUUGUUUUAUUAUGUUGAUUAUAAAAGAAAUAGGUGGUGAGCUCACUAUAUAUAUUAGUGAACUACUCUGAUGAACUACAUGAUGAAUGAUACAAUACAGGUGCUGGCAUGCUAUCCAUGGCAAACUCAGGUCUAAACACUAAUAGAGGAUCCAUGGGUUCCCGCUUUACAGUACCAGUUUUUCCACCUUUACCAGAUUUCUUGUGUGCUUAAUUGUGAUUUUCAGAUUAUAUUGUUAUUAGUUGAUAAUUUUAUACAUAUAUAUAUAUUACUUUUUAGAUAUUCCUCAGUAAAUGAUGAUGUCAUCAAUUCACUGAGGAAUCUAUACAAUGUAUAUCCAGAAUUUUUCAGGGUAUCUAAAGUCCAAUCUUCUGGUUUAAUGUUUUGCACUUUUGUUUCCAGAAGAGUUUUUAUUGUAGCUGGUAUUUUAAAUGUUGCUACGUCUGGAAACUUCUAAACAAACAAAAUUAAUAUAAGUAUUUUAUGAAAUGUGAAUUGUUUUAAAGUUGUGUAAUAAGUUAAUAUAUAUUUUAACGACUGGCGGUGAAAUAGGACCGAAACGGAUUAGGACUGGAGAAAUAGGACUGGAAAUUUUCAGUCCUAUUUCUCCUGUAGAAAUAGGACUGGGAGAAAUAGGACAACUUUUUAAACACAUUUUAAACAGUCCUAUUUCUCCUUGGAUAUAAGGCUAUUUUGCUUGCCUUUAUCUUACAUAUUUAAGGACAAUGAGCCUCCAAACCGGUAGGCGAAAUUGGGGGGAAAUUGCAGUAGAAAAGCGUUGGCUUUAUAUGCCUACGCCCUUGAAAAUUACCGUUGACAAAAUGGCAACGCUUACUUCGCUUGCAUGCUAAGAAUUCCUUAUCCUAUUAAACUUUUUAUUGCAGAAUAUGAACCGUCAUUUUUGACUGAAUACAGUUCAUUUAACAAAUAAUUAAAUUUAAUAAAUCUAAAUGUUGUUUAACUUUUUCUAUUGUAAAUUUUUCGUACAUCUUGCAACACAGAGGGGGUUGCGUGGGAUGAUUCGUACCUUGGAAUCUCAGCCCCUUUGGUGAAUCAUCCCCCUCCCUAGAAGGGUGAGGACCACACCCAUCGUAGCCCCUCUAUGAUGCAAGUCGUAAGAAGAAUAAAUAAUAACCAAAGUAAAAUUGCACUCACAUUUAUGAAAUGAUUAAUUUUUUUAUAAAUGAACUAUAUAUUGUAAAAAAUUUCGGUUAAAGUACUGUAAAAAUUUUUUUUUUAUCAUAACGAGUUCUUAAGCUGCAAGUGAAUUAAGCGCUGAAAUUUUGUCAACGGUAAUUUUCUAGGACUGAAGGAUAUAAGCCAACCCGCUUGUCUCGGAUAAUUCCCCUAUCAUCUUGCCUACCGGUUUGGAGGCUCAUUGUUCUGAAAUAUGAAAGAGUAGAAAUAAAAAACAGGCAUAACCUUAAGGAGAAAUAGGACCGGUCAAAGAAGAAAUAGGACUGUUUAGAAUGUAUUUAAAAAUCAGUCCUAUUACUCCCAGUCCUAUUUCUACAGGAAAAAUAGGACUGGAAACUUUCAGUCCUAUUUCGUUUCGGUCCUAUUUCACCGGCUACCAUUUUAAUCGUGCAGUGUAUAGUUUUAACUUAAUGUAUAUAGUUUAUACAUAGUUGUUAUAAAGAAUUAUUUGCAUGUUAUCUACUUCUUAGAACUUAAAAUGAAUUUGUAUAUAGUAUUUAACCCUUGGGGUUUUUGUUUUUUAUAUAGAUAUACCUUAAAGUCAUUGUUAAGCAUAUUCAGGUCUUGUUCGUCCUCUGAAUCCUCAUUGUGUUCUUCUACUAUUUUAAUUAUCACAUUGUUGUUCAUCUCUAUAUCAGGAAUUAUAAUGUUAUCUAUUUGCAGUUGUUUUUCCUUUAAUUCUUUUAUUUCUAUAAAAUCCCAAAAAAUUGUAAAAACUUUAGAAAUUUUUGUCGUACAAA